This 429-nucleotide ribosomal RNA is filed under the name Gemmatimonadota bacterium. Its description in RNAcentral is "Gemmatimonadetes bacterium partial 16S ribosomal RNA". It matches the Rfam family "Bacterial small subunit ribosomal RNA", at positions 355 to 776 of the family's 1533-position model. The record is from RNAcentral. Lineage: Bacteria; Pseudomonadati; Gemmatimonadota.
UAGGGAAUCUUCGGCAAUGGACGAAAGUCUGACCGAGCAACGCCGCGUGAGUGAAGAAGGCUUUCGGAUCGUAAAACUCUGUUGUUAGAGAAGAACAAGGACGUUAGUAACUGAACGUCCCCUGACGGUAUCUAACCAGAAAGCCACGGCUAACUACGUGCCAGCAGCCGCGGUAAUACGUAGGUGGCAAGCGUUGUCCGGAUUUAUUGGGCGUAAAGCGAGCGCAGGCGGUUUCUUAAGUCUGAUGUGAAAGCCCCCGGCUCAACCGGGGAGGGUCAUUGGAAACUGGGAGGCUUGAGUGCAGAGGAGGAGAGUGGAAUUCCAUGUGUAGCGGUGAAAUGCAUAGAGAUAUGGAGGAACACCGGUGGCGAAGGCGGCUCUCUGGUCUGAAACUGACGCUGAGGCUCGAAAGCGUGGGGAGCAAACAGG